This 1098-nucleotide long non-coding RNA is filed under the name Gallus gallus (chicken). RNAcentral's name for it is "lncRNA (ENSGALG00010010357.1)". The record is from RNAcentral. Lineage: Eukaryota; Metazoa; Chordata; Aves; Galliformes; Phasianidae.
CCUGCUUGAAUAUGCAAAGGAUUCCAGUGUUAUCUGGUAUAUCUGAUGCGGCAUUGACCUAUACUCUCAUAUCUUAUCUUCCUACUCAGUAUGCAACCAGAAAAUGCUGGUGCUGCUGUACUACUGAGGGCAGUGCCUCCCUCCAACAACUGCUCCGCAGUGUGAGAUGUGGCCACUCACACAGACUCCUAAUACAGCCCACCGCAUGUAGUCUGGCAAGGUUUUGUUAGCCUCUUCCCCACCAAGGAACACCGAUGUUGACCUGAUUUCUGCUUAAGGAACACCUGACUUUGUUUCCCACUUUCUCCCUUCCCACCUCAGUUCCUGGGGUGACAGGGCCAAGUUCCAGCAACAAUAGCUGAGUUCUGGCAUUUUGACAUCCAAACCAGGCAUGAUGCAAUAGAAGGAACACCAAGCUGAGAUAAAGGUGACAUGGGGAACUGUUGUAGGCAGCUUGAAGGUAUAACUAUAUGCGAAAGCCCCACUGGUUCUGGAGUUGGCCUAUGGAUUCGCAAUGAAUGGAGCAACCAGAAAGGAAUGCAGAUAUAACGGAGAGCCCUCCCUGCCAUCUGCACCCAUGAGCCCACUGCAUCAUAGGAUUUUUGCAGGCCCUGCCAUACAAAAAUAACCAAAACCAAGUGAAAAAGUGUUUAGUCUUACAAAUCUCAAAAUAAAAGGAACCUUGGAUAUGAGUGAUUCUUUCUCAUCUCUAAACAUAUAUGUACUUCCAUAAUGCUGAACUCAAUUCUUCUUUUCUUUAUCUUGCAUUUAAACAAUAGACCAGGUUUUAUGGUUCUAUGCGAAGAACUUGUUACACAAGCUCCAGUGACUCACAAUCUUGUUGAACACUGUAUUCCCAAGUACUAGCCUCUAACACCAGGAAUCCUGGUAAAUGGAAUUAAAUAUUUUGCAAGAAUAUCUUGCUACAGCAUUUAAUACAUCUCUUGCAUAACUGACUCUUUUGGUGGGAUCUUUACUUUGGAAAGUAAAACAGAUAUAUGCAUGUAUUCAGUUGAGAGGUUGUAACAUGUUGAUACUGAUUUACUUGAGAGUUUUGGCCAAAUUUGGUGUGCUUAUGUUGCUGGGAGUAAAAGGGAG